Molecule: ribosomal RNA, 409 nt
Filed under: Aphis aurantii (black citrus aphid)
Lineage: Eukaryota; Metazoa; Arthropoda; Insecta; Hemiptera; Aphididae
Description: partial 12S small subunit ribosomal RNA
Source: RNAcentral
UUAAUAGUUAAGUUCUUUAAAUUUAAAAAAUUUGGCGGUAUUUUAGUCUUAUUAGAGGAACCUGUUUAUUAAUUGAUAAUCCACGAUUAAUUUUACUUAUUUUAAUUAAUUCAUAUAUCGCUGUCAUGAAUAUAUUUAAAAAUUUAUUUUCUUUUUUUAUUUUUAUAAUUUAUGUUAAGUCAAGAUGUGGUUUAUAAAUAAGAAUAUAAUGGGUUACAUUAAAUUUUAUUUUUGGAUUUUAAAUGAAAAUUAAAAUGAAAUUGGAUUUAAUAGUAAAUUUAUUUAUUUAAUUAAUAUGAAUAAAGAUCUAAAAAAUGGACCUAUUGCCCCGCCUUCCUAUUAAAAAUAAGACAAGUCGUAACAAAGUAAAUGUACUGGAAAGUGUAUUUAGAAAGAUUAAUUUAUAAAA